AUUGAACGCUGGCGGCAGGCCUAACACAUGCAAGUCGGACGGUAGCACAGAGAGCUUGCUCUUGGGUGACGAGUGGCGGACGGGUGAGUAAUGUCUGGGGAUCUGCCCGAUAGAGGGGGAUAACCACUGGAAACGGUGGCUAAUACCGCAUAACGUCGCAAGACCAAAGAGGGGGACCUUCGGGCCGUCCACUAUCGGAAGAACGCAGAUGGGAUUAGCUAGUAGGCGGGGUAAUGGCCCACCUAGGCGACGAUCCCUAGCUGGUCUGAGAGGAUGACCAGACACACUGGAACUGAGACACGGUCCAGACUCCUACGGGAGGCGGCAGUGGGGAAUAUUGCACAAUGGGCGCAAGCCUGAUGCAGCCAUGCCGCGUGUAUGAAGAAGGCCUUCGGGUUGUAAAGUACCUUCAGCGGGGAGGAAGGCGAUGUGGUUAAUAACCGCAUUGAUUGACGUUACCCGCAGAAGAAGCACCGGCUAACUCCGUGCCAGCAGCCGCCGUAA
This 504-nucleotide ribosomal RNA is filed under the name uncultured bacterium. RNAcentral describes it as "partial 16S ribosomal RNA". It matches the Rfam family "Bacterial small subunit ribosomal RNA", at positions 29 to 523 of the family's 1533-position model. The record is from RNAcentral.